Molecule: ribosomal RNA, 738 nt
Filed under: Triticum aestivum (bread wheat)
Lineage: Eukaryota; Viridiplantae; Streptophyta; Magnoliopsida; Poales; Poaceae
Description: partial small subunit ribosomal RNA
Source: RNAcentral
AUGGCGCAUUUGUGGAGUGUCGCAGCGGCCGAGCUCACCGGCAGCCACCUCGACGAGGUCAAGCGCAUGGUGGCGCGAUUCCGUGAGCCUGUCGUCAGGAUCCUGGGGGCCGGCCUCAGCGUCGGCCAGGUGGCUGCCGUUGCACACGCCAAGGACGUGGCCAGCGUCACCGUGGAGCUCGCCGACGAGGCGCGCGUCCGCGUCCAGGUCUGCAGCGACUGGAUCGUCGACUCGGUGGCAAACGGCGGUGACAUCUACGGCGUCACCACGGACUUCGGUGGCAUGUCCCACCGUCGCACAAAAGAUGGGCAUGGCCUCCAGCUCGAGCUUGUCAGAUGCAAAAUUGUAUACUCACCUGACAAGCUCGACCUGGAGGCCGUCAUCUUUUGUGCGACGGUGGGAGGUGCCACCGAAGCCCGUGGUGACGCCGUAGAUGUCACCGCCGUUUGCCACCGAGUCGACGAUCCAGUCGCUGCAGGGCUGGAUGCGGACGCGCGCCUCGUCGGCGAGCUCGACGGUGACGCUAGCCACCUCCUUGGCGUGUGCAACGGCAGCCACCUGGCCGACGCUGAGGCCGGCCCCCAGGAUCCUGACGACAGGCUCACGGAGUCACGCCACCAUGCGCUUGACCUCGUCGAGGUGGCUGCCGGUGAGCUCAGCCGCCGCGACACUCCAGAAAUGCGCCAUUUCUUGUUGCUAGUGGAUGAGGGUGAUGGCUCGGUUGAGGGUAGUGGAUGA